ACUCCUACGGGAGGCAGCAGUGAGGAAUAUUGGACAAUGGAGGCAACUCUGAUCCAGCCAUGCCGCGUGCAGGAAGACUGCCCUAUGGGUUGUAAACUGCUUUUAUACAGGAAGAAACCACUCUACGUGUAGAGUUCUGACGGUACUGUAAGAAUAAGGAUCGGCUAACUCCGUGCCAGCAGCCGCGGUAAUACGGAGGAUCCAAGCGUUAUCCGGAAUCAUUGGGUUUAAAGGGUCCGUAGGUGGAUGAUUAAGUCAGAGGUGAAAGUCUGCAGCUCAACUGUAGAAUUGCCUUUGAUACUGGUUAUCUUGAGUUAUUAUGAAGUAGUUAGAAUAUGUAGUGUAGCGGUGAAAUGCAUAGAUAUUACAUAGAAUACCAAUUGCGAAGGCAGAUUACUAAUAAUAUACUGACACUGAUGGACGAAAGCGUGGGGAGCGAACAGGAUUAGAUACCCUGGUAGGACAGUG
This 468-nucleotide ribosomal RNA is filed under the name uncultured bacterium. RNAcentral's name for it is "bacterial SSU rRNA". It matches the Rfam family "Bacterial small subunit ribosomal RNA", at positions 335 to 799 of the family's 1533-position model. The record is from RNAcentral.